Chenopodium quinoa (quinoa) is the source of this 2144-nucleotide long non-coding RNA. RefSeq lists it as uncharacterized. The record is from RefSeq and is a predicted model, not a curated record. The transcript is spliced from 4 exons. Lineage: Eukaryota; Viridiplantae; Streptophyta; Magnoliopsida; Caryophyllales; Amaranthaceae.
UUAUUAAAAAAAGGAAAAAUUGGUAAAAAUAAUCCCAACUUUCACUUAUUUGCUUUUAAUAAUCCCAACUUUGGAUUAUUAUUAAAUAAUCUCAAUUUUGGGGUGUAUUCGCUUUCUUUGGUCCCUAAUCGGUAACUAACUUGUUAUAACAGGUUUUUGGGAUACGUGGCAUCACGUAAUUGGUUUUAAAAAAACGAUUAAAAACCUUUUUUUUGGGGGGGGAAAGGAAACUAAAAAAAAAGCUUAAAAAAAAAGUGAAAAAUUAAUUAAAAAAACAAACUCAACCCCCCACUGCCACCAUCUCCACCACCAACCUCCGCCCACUCCCGGAACCCCCAUUUUCGCCGGCACCAAGACGCCCAGUCCCCCCGGUACAUAACCAGCUCCGCCGCGACAAGCACCAACCCAUCCACAAACACACAUCAAUCACAACCACCACGAAAACCACCAUGAAACCACCUUGUGGCAGGCCCGCAAAAAACGACCACAAAUCCAACCAGGUUUCUCCUUAACUUGAUUUGGAUUUUUCGCAAUCAAGUCGCAAAGCUCUGUUAAAGCUUCUAUUGAUGAUUCUACAAAGAUUAAUCUAGAAAUUACUGCAAAAUUUGGGGAAAAUUGUUAGGGUUAAUUGCAAAGAUCAAAGGAGGUUAAUUUUUGCAACAAAGGUUUAGUGCGUGGUGGAGGUUAUGGGGGUUUUGGUGGUUUAGGGGUACGGGGAAGGGGGCAGCGACGAGCCGGCACCGUCGCGAGGGAGAGGGGAUCUGGGCGCGGUGGUUAGGAGCGGCUGAUGUUGCCGUUGGUUUGGUUUUUUAGGUUGCUUGCCGUGGUCCUUGUUGCAUUGGGGGUGUGGGCAGCAGUGUUGGUGGCGAUUGGGUGGGUGGCAGAGGUUGUGGUUGUUGGUGUAUGCGGCUGGGCGGUGAUGGCAGGAGAGUUUGGUUUGGUGGGUGUGAGUGGUGAGGAGCAGGGGAGUUCUAGGUGUGGAGAUGCGUGGCUGCUGGUGUUUUCGAGAUGCCGGCAGGUGGUGCGGUGGGAGCGCAGGUUGUUGCGUAGGUGAUGGUGGUUAUAGGGGUUGCUGCGCAGGUGAUGGUCGGAACGUAGGUGGUUAAAGGUGAUGGUGGUGAUGUUGUCGUUUGAAUUUUCACUAGUAGAAAAAGAUAAAUGCGCACCGAUUAUUGAAAACCGGUGCAAAAAAUGCAAGCCUAGACCACAAAAAUAAAACAGGCUUAAUAGGGCACCGGUUAACCGAUGCCCUUUUCCCAAAUAUUCCCUAAAAUUAGAACUCUCUCGCUCUCUCUCCUCUGUUUCCCCUCUCUUCUCGAAUUCUCUCGUUCUCUAUUCUCUCUUCUCCUCUCUCGCUCUCUCUCCAUGCUAGCUUCCCACCAGCGCAACUUUCCUCUAUUACAGCUUCCCACCGCAGCCACCACCAGCGCAAGCCUCCUCUCUCUCUUCUUCCAUGCUAGCUUCCCACCACCAGCCACCACCACCGUAGUCAGUAAUGGAGAUGUUAAAGCAAGCCCUUAAAAAACCAGGAGAACGAUGCCUAGAUCUCUAAUGGCGACGCUGCUCCUCACAAGAAGCUGAUUUCUGCAAUCUGGUUGGGCUGCUUGGUUUACAAAGGACAAUAUUUUGACAUAGCAUCUUGCAAAUUCCUUUGACAUACGAGGUGAGGGUACAUCAGGGACAAGAGCCAAUUGAUGGGGUAGACGUUUGCUUGAUACAAAUGUGCAUGAUUGUGGAUAUGGAAAAUGGGAUUUUGAAGCAAAGAAUUCAUAGUUUGGCUAGACAAAGAGAAGAGAUGGAGCAAAGCUCUUUGUUAUUGUCGUCAUAAAUUUAAGCUCUCCACGUUGUUGCCUCUUCACAAGAGAGUGGAUCAGCUCUCCACGCUGCUACCUCUACUGCUACUCCCUCUGCUGCUGCUGUCUUAUCUUUGAUGCUACUGCCGCUUUUACAUUGCUUCUACUGCCUCCUAUCUUUGAUGCUGUUGCUAAUUCUGUAGUGCUGCUACUGCCUCCUCCUAUUAUGAUAAUAGAAGUAUCCAAGAAGAAAAUAUUGAUGCUGUAGUUUUUUCAGUUUUUUAAAGUGUGAUAUUACAAGUUAUUGAAGAAAAAAUAUGUAUUUUAUGUAUAUUAUGAUUAUACAUAAGU